CGCAGUAACAGGAAAGACGCAGCCUAGCUGAAAGUCAAGGGAGGUGAUACACGGCUCUGGCCGCCACUCUUGAGAAUUAAAGCCGAACUCCGGGUGGCUGAGUUUUCCCACGCCUCCCUGUGUACGAGGAACUGCGGAGUGUGUGAGUGCUAACACCACAAGCUGCUGAAGGGCACAGACCACCCUCUUCAUUCCCCAACACAGCUGAUGAACAUGGAAUAUAUGGAAGAGUGAAUGGCUAUUCUUUAACUUAGGGUUUUUAACUUGACUGUCACUGAAAUAUUAAACAUAGGAAACUGCUUUACAUUUUGUGCUGUUACUAAAAAUAAACAUAAGAUUAGACUUAAGUUAAA
Non-coding RNA from Cricetulus griseus (Chinese hamster), 353 nucleotides. The record is from RefSeq and is a predicted model, not a curated record. NCBI's taxonomy places the organism in Eukaryota, Metazoa, Chordata, Mammalia, Rodentia, Cricetidae.